UCCAGCAGUUGUCAGCUAUCCGGGCUAGUGUGGUGCCUGUGAUUGUGUUACACUGUUGGAAGAGCAAGCACUGACUUUGUUGAGGUUGGCUCCACACGCUGUUUUGGUGUUGUGGUGUAGUGCCUUUGAGCAGUGUUUUGUACCUCUGAGAGUGGACUGCCUUCUGCUGUGGAGGUGGUCCUAGUCUGGGUACAAACAUU
This is a small nucleolar RNA of Fukomys damarensis (Damara mole-rat), 200 nucleotides long. Its record names the gene SNORA74. It matches the Rfam family "Small nucleolar RNA SNORA74". Rfam says of the family: U19 belongs to the H/ACA class of snoRNAs. snoRNAs bind a number of proteins (including dyskerin, Gar1p and Nop10p in the case of the H/ACA class) to form snoRNP complexes. The record is from Ensembl. Lineage: Eukaryota; Metazoa; Chordata; Mammalia; Rodentia; Bathyergidae.